This 85-nucleotide transfer RNA is filed under the name Parcubacteria group bacterium ADurb.Bin326. Its description in RNAcentral is "tRNA-Ser". It matches the Rfam family "tRNA". From Rfam's summary of the family: Transfer RNA (tRNA) molecules are approximately 80 nucleotides in length. Their secondary structure includes four short double-helical elements and three loops (D, anti-codon, and T loops). The record is from RNAcentral.
GCCGACAUGGUGGAAUUGGUAGACACGCACGGUUCAGAGCCGUGUCGCCGCAAGGCGGUGAGAGUUCAACUCUCUCUGUCGGCAC